Molecule: transfer RNA, 61 nt
Filed under: Celleporella hyalina
Lineage: Eukaryota; Metazoa; Bryozoa; Gymnolaemata; Cheilostomatida; Hippothoidae
Description: tRNA-Ile
Source: RNAcentral
AAUAUUAAAUCACUUAGUGAGCUGAGUUGAUACCUCAAAAGAAGUUUAAUACUUAAUAUUA